GACGUAGGAUGCAAGCGUUGUCCGGAUUUAUUGGGCGUAAAGAGUUCGUAGGCGGUUUGUUAAGUCUGAUGUUAAAGACUGGGGCUCAACCUCGGAAGUGCAUUGGAUACUGGCAGACUGGAGUGCAGUAGAGGCAAGUGGAAUUCCCAGUGUAGCGGUGAAAUGCGUAGAUAUUGGGAAGAACACCGGUGGCGCAGGCGACUUGCUGGGCUGUAACUGACGCUGAGGAACGAAAGCUAGGGGAGCAAAUGGG
Molecule: ribosomal RNA, 253 nt
Filed under: uncultured bacterium
Lineage: Bacteria
Description: partial 16S ribosomal RNA
Rfam family: Bacterial small subunit ribosomal RNA
Source: RNAcentral